CGAGGACUUCGGUCCUAGCGGCGGACGGGUGAGUAACGCGUGGGAACGUGCCCUUUGCUACGGAAUAGCCCUGGGAAACUGGGAGUAAUACCGUAUGUGCCCUUUGGGGGAAAGAUUUAUCGGCAAAGGAUCGGCCCGCGUUGGAUUAGGUAGUUGGUGGGGUAAUGGCCUACCAAGCCGACGAUCCAUAGCUGGUUUGAGAGGAUGAUCAGCCACACUGGGACUGAGACACGGCCCAGACUCCUACGGGAGGCAGCAGUGGGGAAUCUUAGACAAUGGGCGCAAGCCUGAUCUAGCCAUGCCGCGUGAGCGAUGAAGGCCUUAGGGUUGUAAAGCUCUUUCAGCGAGGAAGAUAAUGACUGUACUCGCAGAAGAAGCCCCGGCUAACUCCGUGCCAGCAGCCGCGGUAAUACGGAGGGGGCUAGCGUUGUUCGGAAUUACUGGGCGUAAAGCGCACGUAGGCGGACUGGAAAGUCAGGGGUGAAAUCCCGGGGCUCAACCCCGGAACUGCCUUUGAAACUCCCAGUCUUGAGGUCGAGAGAGGUGAGUGGAAUUCCGAGUGUAGAGGUGAAAUUCGUAGAUAUUCGGAGGAACACCAGUGGCGAAGGCG
This 610-nucleotide ribosomal RNA is filed under the name Pseudogemmobacter blasticus. Its description in RNAcentral is "bacterial SSU rRNA". It matches the Rfam family "Bacterial small subunit ribosomal RNA", at positions 67 to 723 of the family's 1533-position model. The record is from RNAcentral. Lineage: Bacteria; Pseudomonadati; Pseudomonadota; Alphaproteobacteria; Rhodobacterales; Paracoccaceae.